ACUCCUACGGGAGGCAGCAGUGGGGAAUUUUGGACAAUGGGCGCAAGCCUGAUCCAGCCAUGCCGCGUGCAGGAUGAAGGCCUUCGGGUUGUAAACUGCUUUUGUACGGAACGAAAAGACUCCUUCUAAUAAAGGGGGUCCAUGACGGUACCGUAAGAAUAAGCACCGGCUAACUACGUGCCAGCAGCCGCGGUAAUACGGAGGGUGCAAGCGU
This 214-nucleotide ribosomal RNA is filed under the name uncultured organism. Its description in RNAcentral is "partial 16S ribosomal RNA". It matches the Rfam family "Bacterial small subunit ribosomal RNA", at positions 335 to 541 of the family's 1533-position model. The record is from RNAcentral.